This 454-nucleotide ribosomal RNA is filed under the name uncultured bacterium. RNAcentral's name for it is "bacterial SSU rRNA". It matches the Rfam family "Bacterial small subunit ribosomal RNA", at positions 29 to 506 of the family's 1533-position model. The record is from RNAcentral.
AUUAACGCUGGCGGCGUGCCUAAUACAUGCAAGUCGAGCGCUUCGACGCAAGUCGAAGAGCGGCAGACGGGUGAGUAACACGUUGGGACCUUCCUUGAAGUGAGGGAUAACCCCGAGAAAUCGGGGCUAAUACCGCAUGUGCUCCAAUCUCUUUCGAGAGUUUGGAGUAAAGCAGCAAUGCGCUUUAAGAGGGACCUGCGUCCUAUCAGCUUGUUGGUGAGGUAACGGCUCACCAAGGCUAUGACGGGUAGCUGGUCUGAGAGGAUGAUCAGCCACAAGGGGACUGAGACAAGGCCCCUACUCCUACGGGAGGCAGCAGUAGGGAAUCUUUCGCAAUGGGGGAAACCCUGACGAAGCAACGCCGCGUGAAGGAUGAAGGUCGAAAGGUUGUAAACUUCUUUUCUGAGGGAAUAAUUCUGAAGGUACCUCAGGAAUAAGCACCGGCUAACUCCGU